GAUGAACGCUGGCGGCGUGCUUAACACAUGCAAGUCGAACGAGAAGUGGAGACGGAAACCUUCGGGCGGAAGACUUUAUUUCGAGUGGCGGACGGGUGAGUAACGCGUGGGUAACCUGCCUCAUACAGGGGGAUAACAGUUGGAAACGACUGUUAAUACCGCAUAAGACCACAGCACCGCAUGGUGCGGGGGUAAAAACUCCGGUGGUAUGAGAUGGACCCGCGUUCGAUUAGCCAGUUGGCGGGGUAACGGCCCACCAAAGCGACGAUCGAUAGCCGAUCUGAGAGGAUGACCGGCCACAUUGGGACUGAGACACGGCCCAAACUCCUACGGGAGGCAGCAGUGGGGAAUAUUGCACAAUGGGGGAAACCCUGAUGCAGCGACGCCGCGUGAGUGAAGAAGUAUUUCGGUAUGUAAAGCUCUAUCAGCAGGGAAGAAAAUGACGGUACAUGAGUAAGAAGCCCCGGCUAACUACGUG
RNAcentral lists this ribosomal RNA (478 nucleotides) under uncultured bacterium. RNAcentral describes it as "partial 16S ribosomal RNA". It matches the Rfam family "Bacterial small subunit ribosomal RNA", at positions 28 to 507 of the family's 1533-position model. The record is from RNAcentral.